GAUGUCACCAGAACCCCUGGAUGGAAUUACAGCCUUUUAAUUUACAACUUGAUGUCACUGCCACUCUCCCCAGCUCCAUCUUCAUCCCGCCGAGUCCCAUCUUCCUUCUCACCAGCCUGGUAUUUUUGAACGUACAUUUGAAUUGCAACAGUCGGCAUCAAGAUGGUGGGAAAUAGCAGUUGAGAUUUCUCAACUAGAAGAUUGAAAAGUCUAAGGCUGGACAAACAAUCAAACAAUGAGAGGCUGUACAAGAAGCAUGGCACCAGCAACUGCUCGGCUUCUGGGGAAGCCUCAGGAAGCUUCCAAUCAUGGCAGAAGGCGAAGGGAGAGCCAGCAUGUCACAUGGUUAAGCCUGAGUUUGGUCUUCUGUUACUUGGAACUGAAAUAAUGUGCAUUGACACACCUAACAAGUCAAAGUAUUGUCUUUUGCUGGUCUGCUCUGGUCCUGGAAACAUCCACUGAUAGAAUCACUGGUCUGGGACAAAUUGUGGUACCCAAAGACCUCAGGAAGCACUUAGAAGCAUUACUCCUGAAGUCCCAUUCGUCCCAAGAAGAGUUGCUGGCUGGAGGAGACAAUAUGUAAACAUGUCAUGACAAGAUGGUGUGCCAUCAAGUCUGAGAUAAUCUGUUAUGGCAACGUAAGAAGCUAAUACAAGAUGCAGGAGUGAAGCAGCGAGGUCUGGAAAAAAGCUAUUGCAAAAAUACAGUCUCAGCAAGGGGAUAGAAGGAGCCCUGCAUUCUCUCCUGACACGCUUGACAAAAACAAACCCAACUAGAGGUCGCCAGCAACGGAGGGGCAUCCUGUGUAAGGACUUGGAAGAGGAGUUGUAUUGUCACCCCCUGGCCACUAGAGGACUUCAUCCUAUUUCAGUGGAGGAAGGCCUGUUAGGGGCCUCUCUAUACUGGUGGAGGUUUGGUCGUCUUCCCUUCACUUGAUUUCUGCCAGUGGCCUUAUGUGAGGAUGCUUCAUGAGAUGUCAAGUAUCCGAGGAGUCUGUGACACAACCAUCCAGUGGUGAAUUGCUAAGGAGCUCCUCUCCAGCCUGCUUGACUCUGAGGUUAAAAGAGUCUUCAUGUUGAGCACAAGUCAUCUCUUUGCACUUUCACCAGUUGUGUCCAUCUGAAAAACACAGAGGUCUGUCUCACUUCUGCAUCACAGUCCCUUCCAAGAAGCUCCACAAUGGGUAAGGCACAAUAAAAUGGCUUAUAUUCAACAAACACAUAA
Homo sapiens (human) is the source of this 1224-nucleotide long non-coding RNA. The record is from Ensembl. Lineage: Eukaryota; Metazoa; Chordata; Mammalia; Primates; Hominidae.